RNAcentral lists this ribosomal RNA (707 nucleotides) under uncultured Bacilli bacterium. RNAcentral's name for it is "bacterial SSU rRNA". It matches the Rfam family "Bacterial small subunit ribosomal RNA", at positions 71 to 751 of the family's 1533-position model. The record is from RNAcentral. Lineage: Bacteria; Bacillati; Bacillota; Bacilli.
UUUCUUUCACCGGAGCUUGCUCCACCGAAAGAAAAGGAGUGGCGAACGGGUGAGUAACACGUGGGUAACCUGCCCAUCAGAAGGGGAUAACACUUGGAAACAGGUGCUAAUACCGUAUAACAAUCGAAACCGCAUGGUUUCGGUUUGAAAGGCGCUUUUGCGUCACUGAUGGAUGGACCCGCGGUGCAUUAGCUAGUUGGUGAGGUAACGGCUCACCAAGGCAACGAUGCAUAGCCGACCUGAGAGGGUGAUCGGCCACAUUGGGACUGAGACACGGCCCAAACUCCUACGGGAGGCAGCAGUAGGGAAUCUUCGGCAAUGGACGCAAGUCUGACCGAGCAACGCCGCGUGAGUGAAGAAGGUUUUCGGAUCGUAAAACUCUGUUGUUAGAGAAGAACAAGGAUGAGAGUAAAAUGUUCAUCCCUUGACGGUAUCUAACCAGAAAGCCACGGCUAACUACGUGCCAGCAGCCGCGGUAAUACGUAGGUGGCAAGCGUUGUCCGGAUUUAUUGGGCGUAAAGCGAGCGCAGGCGGUUUCUUAAGUCUGAUGUGAAAGCCCCCGGCUCAACCGGGGAGGGUCAUUGGAAACUGGGGAACUUGAGUGCAGAAGAGGAGAGUGGAAUUCCAUGUGUAGCGGUGAAAUGCGUAGAUAUAUGGAGGAACACCAGUGGCGAAGGCGGCUCUCUGGUCUGUAACUGACGCUGAAG